GGUCACUGCUAUUGGGAUUCGACUAAGUCAUGCGAGUCGAGAGGGUUCGGCCCUCGGCAGACGGCUCAGUAACACGUGGAUAAUCUGCCCUUAGGUGGAGGAUAACCUCGGGAAACUGAGAAUAAUACUCAAUAGAUCUAGGAUGCUGGAAUGCACUUAGAUUGAAAGUUCCGGCGCCUAAGGAUGAGUCUGCGGACUAUCAGGUAGUAGUCAGGGUAAAGGCCUGACUAGCCUACGACGGAUACGGGUUGUGUGAGCAAUAACCCGGAGACGAUAUCUGAGACACGAUAUCRGGCCCUACGGGGCGCAGCAGGCGCGAAACCUUCACAAUGUGCGAAAGCGCGAUGAGGGGAUCCCAAGUGCUUGCUCGUAAGAGUAAGCUGUUUUUAUGUCUAAAACGCAUAGAGAGUAAGGGCUGGGUAAGACGGGUGCCAGCCGCCGCGGUAAUACCUGCAGCUCAAGUGGUGACCGCUAUAUUGGGCCUAAAACAUUCGUAGCCGGUUUGGUAAAUGCCUGGGUAAAUCGUGUAGCUUAACUAUACGAAUUCCGGGUAGACUGCCAAACUUGAGACCGGGAGAAGCUAGAGGUACUCCUUGGGUAGAGGUGAAAUUCUGUAAUCCUAGGGGGACCACCAGUGGCGAAGGCGUCUAGCUAGAACGGGUUUGACGGUGAGGAAUGAAGCCCUGGGGCGCAAACCGGAUUAGAUACCCGGGUAGUCCGGGGUGUAAACGCUGCUUGCUUGAUGUUAGUUGGGCUCCGAGCCCAACUAGUGUCGGAGAGAAGUUGUUAAGCAAGCUGCCUGGGAAGUACGGUCGCAAGGCUGAAACUUAAAGGAAUUGGCGGGGGAGCACCACAAGGGGUGAAGCCUGCGGUUCA
This 876-nucleotide ribosomal RNA is filed under the name uncultured euryarchaeote. RNAcentral describes it as "bacterial SSU rRNA". It matches the Rfam family "Archaeal small subunit ribosomal RNA", at positions 21 to 904 of the family's 1478-position model. The record is from RNAcentral. Lineage: Archaea; Methanobacteriati; Methanobacteriota.